AUGUUCACUGCAGCAGCACAUAUACUAAAUCUGGAAAAACACAGAGCAGAUUAGCAUGACCACUGCACAAGGAUGACAUGCAAAUUCGUAAAGUAUCCAUAUUUUU
RNAcentral lists this small nuclear RNA (106 nucleotides) under Tursiops truncatus (common bottlenose dolphin). Lineage: Eukaryota; Metazoa; Chordata; Mammalia; Artiodactyla; Delphinidae. The record is from RNAcentral.